CAGUCGCCGCGGUAAUACGAAGGGUGCAAGCGUUACUCGGAAUUACUGGGCGUAAAGCGUGCGUAGGUGGUGGUUUAAGUCCGUUGUGAAAGCCCUGGGCUCAACCUGGGAAUUGCAGUGGAUACUGGGUCACUAGAGUGUGGUAGAGGAUAGUGGAAUUUCCGGUGUAGCAGUGAAAUGCGUAGAGAUCGGAAGGAACAUCCGUGGCGAAGGCGACUAUCUGGGACAACACUGACGCUGAGGCACGAAAGCGUGGGGAGCAAACAGGAUUAGAUACCCGCGUAGUCCCUGUCUCUUAUAC
RNAcentral lists this ribosomal RNA (301 nucleotides) under uncultured bacterium. Its description in RNAcentral is "partial 16S ribosomal RNA". It matches the Rfam family "Bacterial small subunit ribosomal RNA", at positions 509 to 807 of the family's 1533-position model. The record is from RNAcentral.